Molecule: ribosomal RNA, 492 nt
Filed under: uncultured bacterium
Lineage: Bacteria
Description: partial 16S ribosomal RNA
Rfam family: Bacterial small subunit ribosomal RNA
Source: RNAcentral
AGUGAACGCUGGCGGUAGGCCUAACACAUGCAAGUCGAACGGCAGCACAGUAAGAGCUUGCUCUUACGGGUGGCGAGUGGCGGACGGGUGAGGAAUACAUCGGACUCUACUUUUUCGUGGGGGAUAACGUAGGGAAACUUACGCUAAUACCGCAUACGACCUACGGGUGAAAGCAGGGGAUCUUCGGACCUUGCGCGAUUGAAUGAGCCGAUGUCGGAUUUGCUAGUUGGCGGGGUAAAGGCCCACCAAGGCGACGAUCCGUAGCUGGUCUGAGAGGAUGAUAGGCGACAUGGGAACUGAGACAGGGUCAAGACGACUAAGGGAGGCAGCAGUGGGGAAUAGUGGACAAUGGGGGCAAGCCUGAUACAGCGAGAGCGAGUGGGUGAAGAAGGCCUUCGGGUUGUAAAGACCUUUUGUUGGGAAAGAAAAGCAGCAGGUUAAGACGACGCGGUAGUGACGGUAAUCAAAGAAUAAGCACCGGCUAACUACGUG